AAAAAAGUCAUAGAGGUUAUGGGAUUGGCUUGAAACCAGUCUUUGGGGGUUCGAUUCCUUCCUUUUUCA
This is a non-coding RNA of Macaca mulatta (Rhesus monkey), 69 nucleotides long. NCBI's taxonomy places the organism in Eukaryota, Metazoa, Chordata, Mammalia, Primates, Cercopithecidae. The record is from Rfam.